UGAGCGGUUCGCGCGCGCUGAUUGGCCGGCGGGCACGUCCCCUGCGGCACGCGCUGACCUUGCCCGCGGAGCCGCAGCCAUGGUGGCGUAUUGGCGACAGGCCGGGCUCAGCUACAUCCGCUACUCGCAGAUCUGCGCCCAGGCCGUGCGGGCCGCCAUGAAGCCGCAGUACAAAGCGGAGGCCGAGAGGGCAGCGGUGGCCACGGUGAAAACGGUGAAACCCAAAAAGGAGUGAAAUUAUCUAGAGAUAAUCGGCUCCAUUCCCAGCCGUGCGAGUGGAGGGGAUUGCGGUGUGGUGCGAAUGUGCGCGGGUGUCUGUGACCUGAUUACCUGUGAGAUGGGAAACUGCCUGAUUUCAUUGGUCAGGAGCUGAUCUGUGGUGAAUAACAGCAAACUGCAAAGCUGUAGGCAAGCUCAAGACUGCAGUGUAGUGUCAUCACAUGAACUGUAGAACUUGCCUCUAUGUAAAUUGGUAUGCUAAUAAAUGUAAUUUCUGAAUGUGUG
This is an RNA transcript of Ficedula albicollis (Collared flycatcher), 504 nucleotides long. It is a transcript of the gene named ATP synthase, H+ transporting, mitochondrial F1 complex, epsilon subunit, with no coding region annotated. NCBI's taxonomy places the organism in Eukaryota, Metazoa, Chordata, Aves, Passeriformes, Muscicapidae. The record is from RefSeq and is a predicted model, not a curated record. The transcript has 4 exons.